This is an RNA transcript of Macadamia integrifolia, 2711 nucleotides long. It is a transcript of the gene named DEAD-box ATP-dependent RNA helicase 53, mitochondrial-like, with no coding region annotated. The transcript has 9 exons. The record is from RefSeq and is a predicted model, not a curated record. NCBI's taxonomy places the organism in Eukaryota, Viridiplantae, Streptophyta, Magnoliopsida, Proteales, Proteaceae.
CCAAUCAUGUGCGGAGGCUAAAAGUCUAAAACCCUUCUCCCCCCAGAAGGGAAAAGAGAGAGGUUAAAACCCUUCUUCUUCGCCUAAGUAUCUUCUCUCCUAAACCCCCUGCGGAUCUCGGACUACUCCGCCUCUUCUUCCCACCGCCUGAGAAAACCCAAUUCAUUUGUGGGGUUUCUCUACCUGGAAAGCUCCAAUUAAUCUCAUGUUUCUUUGGUUCUUGGGACGUUUAUUGUUACCUUUCUGAGUUUAAAAGGUUACAGAAACAUUAAACAAGAUGAAUCACCUGUUCAGGAAGUCAGCUUCGAUUGCUUCCUUGGCAUCGAAGCAGGCUCGAACUGCUUUGAUCUCAUUGGGGUCAUUUCGUUUUGAUCCAUCUGCAAUAGCUUCUGAAACUGUUAAAGAUUCUGUGUUUAAUGGUGAAAUUUGUUCAUCUUCGUGUUCUGAGUUUCCGGCGAAGUUUGGGUUUGGUUUGGGUGUUAGAGAUUUUCAUUUCUCGACUGUUCCGUUGGAAUUUAGAGCUUCAAUCGCUGCAAGAGCAGAGAAUGCGGUUGAUGAUUACUAUGAUGAGGAGAGGUCUUCGGGGAAGAAGGUCGGUGGAGAGAACGAGGAAGGGCUUGAGAUUGCGAAGCUGGGGAUUGCUCCUGAAAUUGUUUCUUCUCUCGCAAGGAGAGGAAUCACUAAGCUUUUCCCAAUUCAGAGAGCUGUGUUGGAACCAGCAAUGCAAGGCUGUGACAUGAUUGGCCGGGCUAGGACAGGAACAGGGAAGACUCUAGCUUUUGGGAUUCCCAUUAUGGAUAAAAUAAUUCAGUUCAAUGCUAAGCAUGGACGUGGGAGAAAUCCGUUGGCCUUGGUAUUGGCUCCAACGAGAGAGCUUGCUCGGCAAGUUGAGAAGGAAUUCCAUGAAUCUGCCCCGAAUUUGGAUACACUUUGUGUUUAUGGAGGUGUGCCAAUCUCGCGGCAAAUGAACACUCUUGAUUAUGGAGUUGAUGUCAUUGUUGGCACACCUGGUCGCAUUAUUGAUCUGCUUAAGAGAGGUUCCUUAGUUUUGUCCGAGGUUCAGUUUGUUGUUCUGGAUGAAGCAGAUCAAAUGCUUGCCGUGGGCUUUGAUGAAGAUGUUGAAGUAAUAUUAGAGAGGUUACCCCAGAAGCGUCAGAGCAUGAUGUUCUCUGCCACAAUGCCAAAUUGGAUAAGAAAGCUCACCCAGAAGUAUCUAAAUGAUCCAUUAACGAUUGAUCUUGUAGGAGAUUCUGAUCAGAAGUUGGCAGAAGGGAUUACUCUAUAUUCAAUUGCAUCAGAUAUGUAUGGGAAGGCAUCAAUUAUUGGUCCUCUGAUAACUGAACAUGCAAAAGGAGGAAAAUGUAUUGUUUUCACACAAACUAAACGUGAUGCUGAUCGCUUGGCAUAUGCUAUGGGUCGAAGUUUUAGAUGUGAAGCUUUGCAUGGGGAUAUCUCACAAAAUCAGAGGGAAAGGACACUUGCAGGCUUUCGGGAAGGGAGCUUUAAUGUCUUAGUUGCCACCGAUGUGGCUGCCCGUGGACUUGAUAUACCUAAUGUUGAUCUGGUGAUACAUUAUGAGCUUCCAAAUAGUUCAGAGAUCUUUGUUCAUAGAUCUGGCCGAACUGGACGUGCUGGAAAGAAGGGAAGUGCUAUUCUGAUUUAUACAGAUCAGCAGCUGCGAGGUGUCAGAAUGAUAGAGCGGGAUGUGGGAUCCAAGUUUACAGAGCUUCCCAGGAUUGCUGUUGAGGCUGAAGACAGGGUUAUGUCCAGUGAGAUGGGUGGUGGUGGUCGGUUUGGCUCUUAUGGAAGUUCAGGAAGUGGUCGAUUCAGUGAUUCUGGUUUUGGUCGUUCUGGCGGUUAUGGUGGUUCUGGAUUUGGUCGUUCUGGCGAUUAUGGUGGUUCUGGAUUUGGUCGUUCUGGCGGUUAUGGUGGUUCUGGAUUUGACCGUUCCAGUAGCUUUGGUGGUCCAUCAUCAGGACGUGUGGGUAAUUAUGGUGAGUCAGGGUCUAGUCGAAUGGGUUCCUUUGGUGGAUCAGGCUCGGGUCAAUCUGGUGGUGGAUUUGGCAGUUAUGGCUCAAGUCGCUCUAGCGAAUUUGGUGGUUCUGGAUUUGGCCGUUCAGGCAGCUUUGGAGAGUUUGGUGGUUCAGGUCAUUCCAGUGCUUUUGGUGGGCCAGGUCGCUCCAGUGGUUUUGGGAAUUCUAAUUCAGGGCGUUCAAGUGGUUUUGGGGAUCCUAGCUCGAGUCACUCGAGUGGUUUUGGGAAUUCUGGUUCAAGUCAAUUUGGUGGAUCCAGUGCUAGCUCUAUUGGUGGCUUGAGUCAUGGUAGUCUUGAUGAUGAUAAGAGGCCUGGGAGGAUUUAAUUCUAAUAUAUUUGGAGAUAGACUUUUUGCUGGGACCCAUCCACUGGUGCAUCAAAACCUCCAUCUAUCACAUGGCAUCAGAUCUUAUGAUGGCCAUGGGGUGAAAGAUGGAUUCGAAUGAUGCAACAUCAAGAUUUGGUGAACUGGCCACGAGUUGGAUUAUGCAUUCAAGCAAAUGACUAGAUUUAUGGUUGAAGUGAAGUGCAAGCUUUUCAGAUUACUUCAAUGUUAGAUCCAUAUUGAACAGAAAUUAUUUGAAAAAAAAAAAGGGGGGGUGGGGGGUGGGGGGCUUACCCAGUGAACAGAAAUUAUUCUUCUAAUCUAUUUCAAAUCCCAAGUGCCAUAUUUUCAA